RNAcentral lists this ribosomal RNA (253 nucleotides) under uncultured bacterium. RNAcentral describes it as "partial 16S ribosomal RNA". It matches the Rfam family "Bacterial small subunit ribosomal RNA", at positions 524 to 776 of the family's 1533-position model. The record is from RNAcentral.
UACGGAGGGAGCUAGCGUUGUUCGGAAUUACUGGGCGUAAAGCGCGCGUAGGCGGCUUUGUAAGUUAGAGGUGAAAGCCCGGGGCUCAACUCCGGAAUUGCCUUUAAGACUGCAUCGCUUGAAUCAUGGAGAGGUGAGUGGAAUUCCGAGUGUAGAGGUGAAAUUCGUAGAUAUUCGGAAGAACACCAGUGGCGAAGGCGACUCACUGGACAUGUAUUGACGCUGAGGUACGAAAGCGUGGGGAGCAAACAGG